RNAcentral lists this ribosomal RNA (426 nucleotides) under uncultured bacterium. RNAcentral describes it as "bacterial SSU rRNA". It matches the Rfam family "Bacterial small subunit ribosomal RNA", at positions 356 to 773 of the family's 1533-position model. The record is from RNAcentral.
GGGGAAUCUUGCGCAAUGGGCGAAAGCCUGACGCAGCGAUGCCGCGUGAGUGAGGAAGGCCUUCGGGUUGUAAAGCUCUGUCGGGGUGGAAAAAUAGCUUAGGGUCUAAUAGGCCUUGAGAAUGAUGGUACACCUAAAGGAAGCACCGGCUAACUUCGUGCCAGCAGCCGCGGUAAUACGAAGGGUGCAAGCGUUGUUCGGAUUUAUUGGGCGUAAAGCGCGCGCAGGCGGAUGUUUAAGUCAGGUGUGAAAUACCCGAGCACAACUUGGGGGGUGCGCCUGAAACUGGAGAUCUAGAAUAGUGUAGGGGGAAGGAGAAUUUCGCAUGUAGGGGUAAAAUCCGUAGAGAUGCGAAGGAAUACCGGAGGCAAAAGCGCCUUCCUGGUCACUAAUUGACGCUGAGGCGCGAAAGCGUGGGGAGCAAAC